This 1652-nucleotide long non-coding RNA is filed under the name Fragaria vesca (wild strawberry). Its description in RNAcentral is "long non-coding RNA (FVES_LNC003293)". The record is from RNAcentral. Lineage: Eukaryota; Viridiplantae; Streptophyta; Magnoliopsida; Rosales; Rosaceae.
GGAAUAUAUUAUGUUUUAACAUGUUUUAAAGUUUUAAUAAGUAACGUAAAUGUCGUUUAAAGUUAACAUAAAAUCACGAGGCUUGCUCAUUGAUCAUUAAAGCGGUAAUAUAUAUUAUAUUAUAACAAAAUACCAUAAAUUAUACUCUUACUUUCCUUUCAGUUAAAAUACAUUAAUUUUCAGUUUGAACAAAUAAACUAUAUAUGAGAAAACCUUUAUGCAAUACCAUGACUCAGAAUUUCUCUAUCCUCCUUUCUUCUCAUAGAUCACACCCUACUUACUAAUCAAGCCAAAGACCAAGUCCCAUUGAAGCAAAUGUUCAGCUGUCUCCUAUUGGAUUAAUUCAUAAUCCAAAAAUUAAAAAAAAUACAGGCCAGAAAUGAAAAGAAAUAUAUAUAGAGGAGGAGGAGGGAGGGAGGGACCUUUGAGGUAGACAGAUGAGUCAUAAAUAUAAAUCUGGUAUUCUGAUGCCUUAAAUAAUUGUUGGGUAUCCAAAUCUCUCUGCUUUUUAUCUCUACAACAAUCCUUCAAUCACUAUAAAGUCCCAGAGCUUUUGUCACUCCGAUCAUUCCGACAUCUGCUUCCUCCUCGCUCUCUGAUUUUCCGGGAAUCCCAUUUCCUUUUUCUCUCAUUUUCCGGUAUAAAAUCGUGUACUACACAAAAGCAAACUCGGAUAUUCCCGACUCUUUCUGCUCAGCUUUUCUUUCCUUUCGCAAAUUUCGCUUCCUGGGUUUGAUUUCGGCUUAUCGUCUGAUUGAAGUGUCGUGACCUUUGAUCACAGAGAAGAGUUUUCGUGUUCGUGUCGACCGUUUGAGUUUCCUUAAAGGUUAGUUAACAAAACAGAAACAGGAGAGAGAAAAAAGAGUGACCGUUUGUUUGCCCGGAGAAUUGGCCGGAAAUAUAAAUAUCUCGGGUGUACGUAAAGGGAAUUGGUAACGUUGUUGCCAACGAAGACUCUCUGUAAGAGAAGACUGAGUAGUCCCUUUGAACUACCUCUUCCUCCUCCCCCGUGAUUUUUUCGUCAAAAAAUAGAAGUCUUUCUUCCUUCUUCUUCUUCUUCUUCUUUGCCAACGUAGGCCCAUUUCACUUCUGUCUUCAAAGAGAAAUCAAAUCCCGACAAUCAGUCUCUCUCUCUCUCUCUCUCUCUCUCUCUCUCCUCCUCCUCUCUCUUCUUUCUUUUCUUUUCUUUUCUUUUCUUUCUUUCUUUCUUUACUUUUACUUUUACUUUUACUUUUACCUUUUACCGUUUUACCGUUUUUACCGGUUUUUACCGGGUUUUUCCGGGUUUACGGGUUUACGGGUUACGGGUUACGGGUUACGGGUUACGGUUACGGUUUACGGUUUUUCGGUUUUUCGGUUUUUUCGGUUUUUACGGUUUUACGGUUUACGGUUACGGUACGUACGUACGUACGUACGUACGUACUACUCCUCCUCUCUCUCUCUCUCUCUCUCUCUCUCUCUCUCCUCCUCCUCCUCCUCCNCNGUUUUUUUUUUUUUUUUUCCAUUUUCUCUCUCUAUUUUUAUAUAGCUUUUUCCGACUCUGUUUUCCGGGUUGGGUGAGAGAAGGCUCGUGCUUUUGUUUUUUGGUUUCUCAGAGCGAGCCGAAAACUUGAAUUCGCUCUCUCCCCUCCUCUCUUGUACAAUCUCUCCAU